GACGAACGCUGGCGGCGUGCUUAACACAUGCAAGUCGAACGGGCCUGUCUUCUUUUUUGGGGGGUGGGUUGAGUGGCGAACGGGUGAGUAUCACGUGAGUCACCUGCCCUUCUGUCCUGGAUAACCGCUUGAAUGGGCGUCUAAUACGGGGUGGUCCGGUUGUUCCGCAUGGGCUGGUCGGGAUAGAUUCACUGUUUUUGGUGUUUCGGCGGGGUCUGGGCUCGCGGCCUAUCAGCUUGUUGGUGGGGUGUUGGCCUUCCAAGGCGGUGACGGGUAGCCGGCCGGAGAGGGUGGGCGGCCAGAGUGGGACUGAGAUACGGCGCAGACACCUGCGGGAGGCAGCAGUGGGGGGUAUUGCAGAAGGGGCGGAAGCCUGAUGCAGCGACGUCGCGUGAGGGAUGGAGGCCUUCGGGUUGUGAACCUCUGUUUCCGGUGGUGAAGGCCCUGUCCGUGUGGUGGGGUUGACGGUAGCCGGGGAUGAAGCGCCGGCUAACUACGUG
This 500-nucleotide ribosomal RNA is filed under the name uncultured bacterium. RNAcentral's name for it is "partial 16S ribosomal RNA". It matches the Rfam family "Bacterial small subunit ribosomal RNA", at positions 28 to 507 of the family's 1533-position model. The record is from RNAcentral.